RNAcentral lists this ribosomal RNA (424 nucleotides) under uncultured bacterium. Its description in RNAcentral is "bacterial SSU rRNA". It matches the Rfam family "Archaeal small subunit ribosomal RNA", at positions 323 to 747 of the family's 1478-position model. The record is from RNAcentral.
CUACGGGAGGCAGCAGGCGCGAAAACUUUACAAUGCGGGAAACCGUGAUAAGGGGAUCUCGAGUGCCAGCAUAUAAUGUUGGCUGUCCAGAUGCCUAAAAAGCAUCUGUUAGCAAGGGCCGGGCAAGACCGGUGCCAGCCGCCGCGGUAACACCGGCGGCCCGAGUGGUAACCGCUAUUAUUGGGUCUAAAGGGUCUGUAGCCGGCCAGGUAAGUCCCUUGGGAAAUCUGGCAGCUCAACUGUCAGGCUGCUAGGGGAUACUGUUUGGCUUGGGACCGGGAGAGGUGAGAGGUACCUUGGGGGUAGGGGUGAAAUCUUGUGAUCCUCGAGGGACCACCAGUGGCGAAGGCGUCUCACCAGAACGGGUCCGACGGUAAGGGACGAAAGCUAGGGGCACGAACCGGAUUAGAAACCCCAGUAGUCC